Pluteus cervinus is the source of this 75-nucleotide non-coding RNA. Lineage: Eukaryota; Fungi; Basidiomycota; Agaricomycetes; Agaricales; Pluteaceae. The record is from the annotation of a GenBank genome assembly.
GGAACGAUGGUGUAGUUGGUCAUCUGUCUAACAGAUAGAACCUCCACGUCCUCAGUUCGAAUCUGGGUUGGUCCG